GGGACAGGCAGCAGUGAAUGAAAUAUUAAACGGUUGUUGCUGCACUCUUGGUGGUCUCUGUGGGCAUAGCAUCCGCUGGUCUCGUCAGCGCUCCACAAAAUGCAGACAUCAACAGUCAAGAUGUUCAAGAUGCCUUGCAGUUUGCUGUACAACAGUACAACAAAGUCAACCAAGAUGUGUACCUGGAAAACCCCAUGAAUGCACACUUGCCGUAAUGGUCUAUUUCUGUAGAAUAAAUACAAUAAAAAUUAAAAAUAAAAUAAUUUUAACCUGC
Molecule: long non-coding RNA, 274 nt
Organism: Trichomycterus rosablanca
Lineage: Eukaryota; Metazoa; Chordata; Actinopteri; Siluriformes; Trichomycteridae
Exons: 3
Source: RefSeq, a predicted model, not a curated record